AUUGAACGCUGGCGGCAUGCUUUACACAUGCAAGUCGAACGGCAGCGGGGAGGAGCUUGCUUCUCUGCCGGCGAGUGGCGAACGGGUGAGUAAUACAUCGGAACGUGUCGAGAAGAGGGGGAUAACCACCCGAAAGGGUGGCUAAUACCGCAUAAAUUCUGAGGAGGAAAGCUGGGGACCUAGGAAUAGGCCUAGCGCUUUUUGAGCGGCCGAUGUCGGAUUAGCUAGUUGGUGAGGUAAAGGCUCACCAAGGCGAAGAUCUGUAGCGGGUCUGAGAGGAUGAUCCGCCACACUGGGACUGAGACACGGCCCAGACUCCUACGGGAGGCAGCAGUGGGGAAUUUUGGACAAUGGGGGCAACCCUGAUCCAGCCAUGCCGCGUGUAUGAAGAAGGCCUUAGGGUUGUAAAGUACUUUUGUUAGGGAAGAAAAGUCAGCUGUGAAUAAUGGCUGAUACUGACGGUACCUAAAGAAUAAGCACCGGCUAACUACGUG
RNAcentral lists this ribosomal RNA (494 nucleotides) under uncultured bacterium. RNAcentral's name for it is "partial 16S ribosomal RNA". It matches the Rfam family "Bacterial small subunit ribosomal RNA", at positions 30 to 507 of the family's 1533-position model. The record is from RNAcentral.